This is a non-coding RNA of Schistosoma mattheei, 45 nucleotides long. NCBI's taxonomy places the organism in Eukaryota, Metazoa, Platyhelminthes, Trematoda, Strigeidida, Schistosomatidae. The record is from Rfam.
AUUCAGCUGAAAAGUCCCAAAUAGGACCAUACGCGCGUCGCGAAU